ACAUCCAGCGAACUUGGCAGAGAUGCCUUGGGUGCCUUCGGGAACGCUGAGACAGGUGCUGCAUGGCUGUCGUCAGCUCGUGUUGUGAAAUGUUGGGUUAAGUCCCGCAACGAGCGCAACCCUUUAUCCUUUGUUGCCAGCGAUUCGGUCGGGAAACUCAAAGGAGACUGCCGGUGAUAAACCGGAGGAAGGUGGGGAUGACGUCAAGUCAUCAUGGCCCUUACGAGUAGGGCUACACACGUGCUACAAUGGCGCAUACAAAGAGAAGCGACCUCGCGAGAGCAAGCGGACCUCAUAAAGUGCGUCGUAGUCCGGAUCGGAGUCUGCAACUCGACUCCGUGAAGUCGGAAUCGCUAGUAAUCGUGGAUCAGAAUGCCACGGUGAAUACGUUCCCGGGCCUUGUACACACCGCCCGUCACACCAUGGGAGUGGGUUGCAAAAGAAGUAGGUAGCUUAACCCUCGGGAGGGCGCUUACCACUUUGUGAUUCAUGACUGGGGUGAAGUCGUAACAAGGUAAGCGUAGCGAG
This 528-nucleotide ribosomal RNA is filed under the name uncultured bacterium. RNAcentral's name for it is "bacterial SSU rRNA". It matches the Rfam family "Bacterial small subunit ribosomal RNA", at positions 984 to 1509 of the family's 1533-position model. The record is from RNAcentral.